GGUUAAGCGACUAAGCGUACACGGUGGAUGCCCUGGCAGUCAGAGGCGAUGAAGGACGUGCUAAUCUGCGAAAAGCGUCGGUAAGGUGAUAUGAACCGUUAUAACCGGCGAUGUCCGAAUGGGGAAACCCAGUGUGAUUCGUCACACUAUCGUUAACUGAAUACAUAGGUUAACGAGGCGAACCGGGGGAACUGAAACAUCUAAGUACCCCGAGGAAAAGAAAUCAACCGAGAUUCCCCCAGUAGCGGCGAGCGAACGGGGAGCAGCCCAGAGUCUGAAUCAGCUUGUGUGUUAGUGGAACGGUCUGGAAAGUCCGACGGUACAGGGUGAUAGUCCCGUACACCAAAAUGCACAGGCUGUGAACUCGAAGAGUAGGGCGGGACACGUGGUAUCCUGUCUGAAUAUGGGGGGACCAUCCUCCAAGGCUAAAUACUCCUGACUGACCGAUAGUGAACCAGUACCGUGAGGGAAAGGCGAAAAGAACCCCGGCGAGGGGAGUGAAAAAGAACCUGAAACCGUGUACGUACAAGCAGUGGGAGCACCUUCGGGUGUGACUGCGUACCUUUUGUAUAAUGGGUCAGCGACUUAUAUUCUGUAGCAAGGUUAACCGUAUAGGGGAGCCGCAGGGAAACCGAGUCUUAACUGGGCGUUAAGUUGCAGGGUAUAGACCCGAAACCCGGUGAUCUAGCCAUGGGCAGGUUGAAGGUUGGGUAACACUAACUGGAGGACCGAACCGACUAAUGUUGAAAAAUUAGCGGAUGACUUGUGGCUGGGGGUGAAAGGCCAAUCAAACCGGGAGAUAGCUGGUUCUCCCCGAAAGCUAUUUAGGUAGCGCCUCGUGAACUCAUCUUCGGGGGUAGAGCACUGUUUCGGCUAGGGGGUCAUCCCGACUUACCAACCCGAUGCAAACUACGAAUACCGAAGAAUGUUAUCACGGGAGACACACGGCGGGUGCUAACGUCCGUCGUGAAGAGGGAAACAACCCAGACCGCCAGCUAAGGUCCCAAAGUCAUGGUUAAGUGGGAAACGAUGUGGGAAGGCACAGACAGCCAGGAUGUUGGCUUAGAAGCAGCCAUCAUUUAAAGAAAGCGUAAUAGCUCACUGGUCGAGUCGGCCUGCGCGGAAGAUGUAACGGGGCUAAACCAUGCACCGAAGCUGCGGCAGCGACACUAUGUGUUGUUGGGUAGGGGAGCGUUCUGUAAGCCUGCGAAGGUGACCUGUGAGGGUUGCUGGAGGUAUCAGAAGUGCGAAUGCUGACAUAAGUAACGAUAAAGCGGGUGAAAAGCCCGCUCGCCGGAAGACCAAGGGUUCCUGUCCAACGUUAAUCGGGGCAGGGUGAGUCGACCCCUAAGGCGAGGCCGAAAGGCGUAGUCGAUGGGAAACAGGUUAAUAUUCCUGUACUUGGUGUUACUGCGAAGGGGGGACGGAGAAGGCUAUGUUAGCCGGGCGACGGUUGUCCCGGUUUAAGCAUGUAGGCUGGUUAUCCAGGCAAAUCCGGAUAAUCAAGGCUGAGGUGUGAUGACGAGGCACUACGGUGCUGAAGUAACAAAUGCCCUGCUUCCAGGAAAAGCCUCUAAGCAUCAGGUAACAUCAAAUCGUACCCCAAACCGACACAGGUGGUCAGGUAGAGAAUACCAAGGCGCUUGAGAGAACUCGGGUGAAGGAACUAGGCAAAAUGGUGCCGUAACUUCGGGAGAAGGCACGCUGGUGUGUAGGUGAAGUCCCUGCGGAUGGAGCUGAGACCAGUCGAAGAUACCAGCUGGCUGCAACUGUUUAUUAAAAACACAGCACUGUGCAAACACGAAAGUGGACGUAUACGGUGUGACGCCUGCCCGGUGCCGGAAGGUUAAUUGAUGGGGUUAUCCGUAAGGAGAAGCUCUUGAUCGAAGCCCCGGUAAACGGCGGCCGUAACUAUAACGGUCCUAAGGUAGCGAAAUUCCUUGUCGGGUAAGUUCCGACCUGCACGAAUGGCGUAAUGAUGGCCAGGCUGUCUCCACCCGAGACUCAGUGAAAUUGAACUCGCUGUGAAGAUGCAGUGUACCCGCGGCAAGACGGAAAGACCCCGUGAACCUUUACUAUAGCUUGACACUGAACAUUGAGCCUUGAUGUGUAGGAUAGGUGGGAGGCUUUGAAGCGUGGACGCCAGUCUGCGUGGAGCCAACCUUGAAAUACCACCCUUUAAUGUUUGAUGUUCUAACGUUGGCCCCUUACCGGGGUUGCGGACAGUGUCUGGUGGGUAGUUUGACUGGGGCGGUCUCCUCCCAAAGCGUAACGGAGGAGCACGAAGGUUAGCUAAUCCUGGUCGGACAUCAGGAGGUUAGUGCAAUGGCAUAAGCUAGCUUGACUGCGAGCGUGACGGCGCGAGCAGGUGCGAAAGCAGGUCAUAGUGAUCCGGUGGUUCUGAAUGGAAGGGCCAUCGCUCAACGGAUAAAAGGUACUCCGGGGAUAACAGGCUGAUACCGCCCAAGAGUUCAUAUCGACGGCGGUGUUUGGCACCUCGAUGUCGGCUCAUCACAUCCUGGGGCUGAAGUAGGUCCCAAGGGUAUGGCUGUUCGCCAUUUAAAGUGGUACGCGAGCUGGGUUUAGAACGUCGUGAGACAGUUCGGUCCCUAUCUGCCGUGGGCGCUGGAGAAUUGAGGGGGGCUGCUCCUAGUACGAGAGGACCGGAGUGGACGCAUCACUGGUGUUCGGGUUGUCAUGCCAAUGGCACUGCCCGGUAGCUAAAUGCGGAAGAGAUAAGUGCUGAAAGCAUCUAAGCACGAAACUUGCCCCGAGAUGAGUUCUCCCUGAGACUUUAAGUCUCCUGAAGGAACGUUGAAGACGACGACGUUGAUAGGCCGGGUGUGUAAGCGCAGCGAUGCGUUGAGCUAACCGGUACUAAUGAACCGUGAGGCUUAACCUU
This 2902-nucleotide ribosomal RNA is filed under the name Klebsiella pneumoniae. Its description in RNAcentral is "23S ribosomal RNA". It matches the Rfam family "Bacterial large subunit ribosomal RNA". The record is from RNAcentral. Lineage: Bacteria; Pseudomonadati; Pseudomonadota; Gammaproteobacteria; Enterobacterales; Enterobacteriaceae. RNAcentral also lists the same sequence under 2 other names.